GUGCUUGUUUGGACAGCACAUCUACUAAAGAAGAAUGAUAAAGGGAAAAAAAUAGCAUUGUCCCUGUGAAAGGAUGGCAAAAAAGUUCAGAAAUCAUUCCAUAUUUUU
Small nuclear RNA from Antechinus flavipes (yellow-footed antechinus), 108 nucleotides. The record is from RefSeq and is a predicted model, not a curated record. NCBI's taxonomy places the organism in Eukaryota, Metazoa, Chordata, Mammalia, Dasyuromorphia, Dasyuridae.